This 711-nucleotide long non-coding RNA is filed under the name Homo sapiens (human). Its description in RNAcentral is "HSALNT0325768". The record is from RNAcentral. Lineage: Eukaryota; Metazoa; Chordata; Mammalia; Primates; Hominidae.
UGGCCAGCUCCUGUCUAGUUCAAACUAGUUGAGACCACUGACCCUUCAACUGGGUCUGCAUGGGUGCCUGAGAGGUGGCCUUUUGAUAUCAGAGGGUCAAAAACUCCACCCUCAAGAUCAUGCUAAUGUUGCCAUUUUCUGUACAUAUGUCCUGUGAACUGUUCGUCCACCUCAUCUCUUGGUGACCUAGUGUGUAAAUCUUUUCUCUUUUGCAGAAUCUAUGUCACAGUGAUUGAUUUACUGCAUAUGAGCAGAAUGAACCUGGACCUGGCCAGUAUCAUUAAGGGUCUCACUUCAUCACCUAGACUGGAGUACAGUAGCACAGUUGCAGCUUCCUACAUCUUGACUUCCUGGGUUCCAGUGAUCCUCCCCCUUCAGCCUCUCAGCAGAGAGAGAAAGAAAGCAGAGCUCUUUGAAGCAGAGAAAGAAAGCAGAAAGCAGAGAUCUUUGAAGGCUUAAGAAACCAUAAGGAGUUUUGGAGAGUCAAUGCAUGAUGAUCUCUGAAGAUUCUACUGAAAUCUAAUCAAUAUGUCCUCACUGCCAUCAAUUCAAAAGAACUUGCUAAGAAGGCUCUAGAGGCUUGUACUCUCAGAUAGUGAAAGUGAGAUGAUGUGUAGUGAAAGUCAUAUAUAGGUUGUAAAUUGCAAUAUGGAAUUCCCAAAUGCUGAAUUCAUUUUAUCUCUUCGGAAAUAAAAACCUGUUAAAGACUCA